GAUGAACGCUAGCUACAGGCUUAACACAUGCAAGUCGAGGGGCAGCGGUAUCGAAAGCUUGCUUUCGGUAGCCGGCGACCGGCGCACGGGUGAGUAACGCGUAUCGAACCUGCCUCAUACUCGGGAAUAGCCUUGCGAAAGUAAGAUUAAUGCCCGGUGUUUUCAGAGUCCCGCAUGAGGCUUUGAACAAAGAUUUAUCGGUAUGAGAUGGCGAUGCGUCCCAUUAGCUUGUUGGCGGGGUAACGGCCCACCAAGGCAUCGAUGGGUAGGGGUUCUGAGAGGAAGGUCCCCAACAUUGGAACUGAGACACGGUCCAAACUCCUACGGGAGGCAGCAGUGAGGAAUAUUGGUCAAUGGCGGAAGCCUGAACCAGCCAAGUAGCGUGCAGGAAGACGGCCCUCCGGGUUGUAAACUGCUUUUAGUUGGGAAUAAAACGGGGCUCGUGAGCCCCCUUGCAUGUACCAUCAGAAAAAGGACCGGCUAAUUCCGUG
Molecule: ribosomal RNA, 491 nt
Filed under: uncultured bacterium
Lineage: Bacteria
Description: partial 16S ribosomal RNA
Rfam family: Bacterial small subunit ribosomal RNA
Source: RNAcentral